GAUGAAGAACGUAGCGAAAUGCGAUAAGUAGUGUGAAUUGCAGAAUUCAGUGAAUCAUCGAAUCUUUGAACGCACAUUGCGCCCCUUGGUAUUCCAUGGGGCAUGCCUGUUCGAGCGUCAUCUACACCCUCAAGCUCUGCUUGGUGUUGGGCGUCUGUCCCGCCUCUGCGCGCGGACUCGCCCCAAAUUCAUUGGCAGCGGUCCUUGCCUCCUCUCGCGCAGCACAUUGCGCUUCUCGAGGUGCGCGGCCCGCGUCCACGAAGCAACAUUACCGUCUUUGACCUCGGAUCAGGUAGGGAUACCCGCUGAACUUAAGCAUAUCAAUAAGCGGAGGA
This 335-nucleotide unclassified non-coding RNA is filed under the name soil metagenome. RNAcentral describes it as "partial contains 5.8S ribosomal RNA, internal transcribed spacer 2, and large subunit ribosomal RNA". The stretch from base 1 to 120 matches the Rfam family "5.8S ribosomal RNA", at positions 35 to 154 of the family's 154-position model. The record is from RNAcentral.